RNAcentral lists this ribosomal RNA (255 nucleotides) under uncultured bacterium. Its description in RNAcentral is "partial 16S ribosomal RNA". It matches the Rfam family "Bacterial small subunit ribosomal RNA", at positions 524 to 776 of the family's 1533-position model. The record is from RNAcentral.
UACGUAGGAGGCAAGCGUUGUCCGGAAUUACUGGGCGUAAAGCGCGUGUAGGUGGUGGGACAAGUCUGCUGUGAAAGCGCCUGGCUUAACCGGGCGAGGUCGGCGGAAACUGUCCGACUCGAGGACGGUAGAGGGGGGUGGAAUUCCCGGUGUAGUGGUGAAAUGCGUAGAGAUCGGGAGGAACACCUGUGGCGAAGGCGGCCCCCUGGGCCGGCCCGGACGACUGAGACGCGAAGGCGUGGGGAGCGGAACGGG